RNAcentral lists this ribosomal RNA (253 nucleotides) under uncultured bacterium. RNAcentral's name for it is "partial 16S ribosomal RNA". It matches the Rfam family "Bacterial small subunit ribosomal RNA", at positions 524 to 776 of the family's 1533-position model. The record is from RNAcentral.
UACGUAGGGGGCAAGCGUUGUCCGGAUUUAUUGGGCGUAAAGAGCGUGUAGGCGGCCAGAUAGGUCAGCUGUGAAAACUCGAGGCUCAACCUCGAGAUGUCGGCUGAAACCAUCUGGCUAGAGUCCGGAAGAGGAGAAUGGAAUUCCCGGUGUAGCGGUGAAAUGCGCAGAUAUCGGGAAGAACACCCGUGGCUAAGGCGGCUCUCUAGUACGGUACUGACGCUGAGACGCGAAAGCGUGGGGAGCGAACAGG